GGCACGCCUCGGCCUGGUCGUGGUGGGCGUGGCGUUGACGGCUACGGUCACGGCAGCGUCGGGGCCGAUCGCGUUCGUUUCCCUGGUCGCGCCGC
RNAcentral lists this transfer RNA (95 nucleotides) under Phytohabitans rumicis. Its description in RNAcentral is "tRNA-Ser". The record is from RNAcentral. Lineage: Bacteria; Bacillati; Actinomycetota; Actinomycetes; Micromonosporales; Micromonosporaceae.